GUCGAACGACUCUGGUAUUGAUUGGUGCUUGCAUCAUGAUUUACAUUUGAGUGAGUGGCGAACUGGUGAGUAACACGUGGGAAACCUGCCCAGAAGCGGGGGAUAACACCUGGAAACAGAUGCUAAUACCGCAUAACAACUUGGACCGCAUGGUCCGAGCUUGAAAGAUGGCUUCGGCUAUCACUUUUGGAUGGUCCCGCGGCGUAUUAGCUAGAUGGUGGGGUAACGGCUCACCAUGGCAAUGAUACGUAGCCGACCUGAGAGGGUAAUCGGCCACAUUGGGACUGAGACACGGCCCAAACUCCUACGGGAGGCAGCAGUAGGGAAUCUUCCACAAUGGACGAAAGUCUGAUGGAGCAACGCCGCGUGAGUGAAGAAGGGUUUCGGCUCGUAAAACUCUGUUGUUAAAGAAGAACAUAUCUGAGAGUAACUGUUCAGGUAUUGACGGUAUUUAACCAGAAAGCCACGGCUAACUACGUGCCAGCAGCCGCGGUAAUACGUAGGUGGCAAGCGUUGUCCGGAUUUAUUGGGCGUAAAGCGAGCGCAGGCGGUUUUUUAAGUCUGAUGUGAAAGCCUUCGGCUCAACCGAAGAAGUGCAUCGGAAACUGGGAAACUUGAGUGCAGAAGAGGACAGUGGAACUCCAUGUGUAGCGGUGAAAUGCGUAGAUAUAUGGAAGAACACCAGUGGCGAAGGCGGCUGUCUGGUCUGUAACUGACGCUGAGGCUCGAAAGUAUGGGUAGCAAACAGGAUUAGAUACCCUGGUAGUCCAUACCGUAAACGAUGAAUGCUAAGUGUUGGAGGGUUUCCGCCCUUCAGUGCUGCAGCUAACGCAUUAAGCAUUCCGCCUGGGGAGUACGGCCGCAAGGCUGAAACUCAAAGGAAUUGACGGGGGCCCGCACAAGCGGUGGAGCAUGUGGUUUAAUUCGAAGCUACGCGAAGAACCUUACCAGGUCUUGACAUACUAUGCAAAUCUAAGAGAUUAGACGUUCCCUUCGGGGACAUGGAUACAGGUGGUGCAUGGUUGUCGUCAGCUCGUGUCGUGAGAUGUUGGGUUAAGUCCCGCAACGAGCGCAACCCUUAUUAUCAGUUGCCAGCAUUAAGUUGGGCACUCUGGUGAGACUGCCGGUGACAAACCGGAGGAAGGUGGGGAUGACGUCAAAUCAUCAUGCCCCUUAUGACCUGGGCUACACACGUGCUACAAUGGAUGGUACAACGAGUUGCGAACUCGCGAGAGUAAGCUAAUCUCUUAAAGCCAUUCUCAGUUCGGAUUGUAGGCUGCAACUCGCCUACAUGAAGUCGGAAUCGCUAGUAAUCGCGGAUCAGCAUGCCGCGGUGAAUACGUUCCCGGGCCUUGUACACACCGCCCGUCACACCAUGAGAGUUUGUAACACCCAAAGUCGGUGG
RNAcentral lists this ribosomal RNA (1405 nucleotides) under Lactiplantibacillus plantarum. Its description in RNAcentral is "bacterial SSU rRNA". It matches the Rfam family "Bacterial small subunit ribosomal RNA", at positions 61 to 1433 of the family's 1533-position model. The record is from RNAcentral. Lineage: Bacteria; Bacillati; Bacillota; Bacilli; Lactobacillales; Lactobacillaceae.